RNAcentral lists this ribosomal RNA (492 nucleotides) under uncultured bacterium. RNAcentral describes it as "partial 16S ribosomal RNA". It matches the Rfam family "Bacterial small subunit ribosomal RNA", at positions 29 to 507 of the family's 1533-position model. The record is from RNAcentral.
AGUGAACGCUGGCGGUAGGCCAAACACAUGCAAGUCGAACGGCAGCACAGUAAGAGCUUGCUCUUACGGGUGGCGAGUGGCGGACGGGUGAGGAAUACAUCGGAAUCUACUUUUUCGUGGGGGAUAACGUAGGGAAACUUACGCUAAUACCGCAUACGACCUACGGGUGAAAGCAGGGGAUCUUCGGACCUUGCGCGAUUGAAUGAGCCGAUGUCGGAUUAGCUAGUUGGCGGGGUAAAGGCCCACCAAGGCGACGAUCCGUAGCUGGUCUGAGAGGAUGAUCAGCCACACUGGAACUGAGACACGGUCCAGACUCCUACGGGAGGCAGCAGUGGGGAAUAUUGGACAAUGGGCGCAAGCCUGAUCCAGCCAUACCGCGUGGGUGAAGAAGGCCUUCGGGUUGUAAAGCCCUUUUGUUGGGAAAGAAAAGCAGCAGGUUAAUACCCCGCUGUUCUGACGGUACCCAACGAAUAAGCACCGGCUAACUUCGUG